Molecule: non-coding RNA, 83 nt
Organism: Apiotrichum porosum
Lineage: Eukaryota; Fungi; Basidiomycota; Tremellomycetes; Trichosporonales; Trichosporonaceae
Source: the annotation of a RefSeq genome assembly
GCCCUUGUGGCCAAGGGGAUUAAGGCAUCUCACUUGUAUACAGCAAUAUGAGAAGAUCGGGAGUUCGAUUCUCCUCGGGGGCA